UCCGGUUGAUCCUGCCGGCGGUCACUGCUAUCGAGUUUCGACUAAGCCAUGCGAGUCACAGGCCGAAAGGUACUGGCGGACGGCUCAGUAACACGCGGAUAAUCUACCUUCAGGUGGGGUAUACCCUUGGGAAACUGAGGCUAAUCCCCCAUAGGUCCUGUAAACUGGAAUGUUUUAGGACUGAAAGUCACGGCGCCUGAGGAUGAGUCUGCGGCCUAUCAGGUAGUAGGUGGGGUAAAGGCCCACAUAGCCUAUGACGGGUACGGGCCCUGAGAGGGGUAGCCCGGAGAUGGGUUCUGAGACACGAACCCAGGCCCUACGGGGCGCAGCAGGCGUGAAACCUUCGCAAUGCGCGCAAGCGCGACGAGGGGAACUCGAGUGCUAUUAUCCUUUUGGGUGAUAGCUUUUCUCGAUCCUAAAAAGAUCGGGGAAUAAAAGCUGGGUAAGACGGGUGCCAGCCGCCGCGGUAAUACCCGCAGCUCAAGUGGUGGCCACUAUUAUUGAGCCUAAAGCGUCCGUAGCCGGUCUUGUAAAUCUCUGGGUAAAUCCCAUCGCUCAACGGUGGGAAGACUGGAGAGACUGCAAGACUAGGGAUCGGGUGAGGUAAGAGGUACUCCUGGGGUAGGGGUAAAAUCCUGUAAUCCUGGGGGGACGACCGGUGGCGAAGGCGUCUUACUAGAACGACUCCGACGGUGAGGGACGAAGGCUAGGGGAGCAAACCGGAUUAGAUACCCGGGUAGUCCUAGCUGUAAACGCUGCCCACUUGGUGUUGCCCUUUCGUAGGGAAGGGGCAGUGCCGGAGCGAAGGUGUUAAGUGGGCCGCUUGGGGAGUAUGGUCGCAAGGCUGAAACUUAAAGGAAUUGGCGGGAGAGCACCGCAACGGGAGGAGCGUGCGGUUUAAUUGGAUUCAACGCCGGG
This 918-nucleotide ribosomal RNA is filed under the name uncultured archaeon. RNAcentral describes it as "bacterial SSU rRNA". It matches the Rfam family "Archaeal small subunit ribosomal RNA", at positions 1 to 922 of the family's 1478-position model. The record is from RNAcentral.